UGUCAUGCCCCCCAUGUAUGUGCAUGUGUUUAUACUUGCGUGUGCAUGUUCAUGUGUAUGUGUGUAUAAUAUAAAUAUAAAUAUACAUACACACUAACAUAGACAUGCACGUG
Molecule: microRNA precursor, 113 nt
Filed under: Mus caroli (Ryukyu mouse)
Lineage: Eukaryota; Metazoa; Chordata; Mammalia; Rodentia; Muridae
Description: miRNA (MGP_CAROLIEiJ_G0007660.1)
Source: RNAcentral